RNAcentral lists this ribosomal RNA (345 nucleotides) under Triticum aestivum (bread wheat). RNAcentral's name for it is "partial small subunit ribosomal RNA". Lineage: Eukaryota; Viridiplantae; Streptophyta; Magnoliopsida; Poales; Poaceae. The record is from RNAcentral.
AUGGAAAUUUGGAACUUCGGAGAACCAAGCUGCAAGUGUGAACGAUGUGGUGCAAUUUUCUGGUACGAAGAAAGAACUUCAGGUAGAGCGAGAAGGAUGCCAUCUUUCGGACUAUGUUGCCAACAGGGCAAGGUCGAUUUGCCACCAUUCAGAGAGCCGCCGGCUUACCUUACGAAAUUGUUAAGGAAAGACAACGGAAAGAGGUCAAAAAACUACAUGCAAAAUAUCAGAUUGUACAACUUCAUGUUUGCUUUCACGACAAUGGGAGGAAAGGUAGACACAGAAAUAAACAAUGGUGGUGGUCCUUAUGUUUUUAGAAUGAAUGGGCAAACUACCACAGAAUAG